Gasterosteus aculeatus aculeatus (three-spined stickleback) is the source of this 2033-nucleotide non-coding RNA. NCBI's taxonomy places the organism in Eukaryota, Metazoa, Chordata, Actinopteri, Perciformes, Gasterosteidae. The record is from RefSeq and is a predicted model, not a curated record.
AAGAGAGAAGCGGAGGAAGGUUUGGGGAGGAGAAAAAAACAAAGAGCAGAGAGGAUGAAGAGCGGCCUCAAUGUGUUGCUCCCCGCGACACAUCGCCUUCUAGUGAUGCCACAGAAUCUCAGCGCCAUCGCCACGACGACGACGACGACGACGGCCAAAACUGCAGAAACAAGGACGGAAAAUUUGCCCUUCAAGAAUGUGUUUUACUAAUCGCUGCACAACCAGCAGGAAGCUGCUGACAGAAACACACACAAGAUUCAAGACAAUCCUACUGCCCACACACUGGCACACACACACACACACACACACUUCAGUCUUCACCAGCAGAUCUCCGUGCUGGGAGCUUAUAUAAGGGGGAGUGGGAGGCUGAGAGCUAUUUCAGGACCCAAAAAGACGCGUGUGUGUGUGUGUGCGUGGCUAUGGUACCCAUAUGGAUUUGUAUUGGUGCAGCUGUGUGUGUGUGUGUGUGUGUGUGUGUAGGACUAUAAGGGCUCUGAUUCAAUGGGUUUCAUAACCAGUGAAGUUUGAGGUGAAGUUUGGCUCAGAGACGCUCUGUUCCUACGACGCGUUCACUCAAACCCCAGAGCUGCACACACACACACACGCACACACACACACACGCACACACGCACACGCACACAGUAAAAAAGAGCCAGCGAUCCCACAGAGCUGCGUAGCAACUGGAGAAAUGCCCACGUGUUACUUGUUGCAGCUCACCAGACGUGUCGAGUGCACCCGCAGCCCCCUUCUAUUAAUUGCAGCCUUCUCUGCCCCCAGAGACCCCCCGGCUCUGACUGAUGUCAUGUGGAGGCCGUUUAAGGCUCCACGACUUCCUGUCAGAGACACAUUUCUUACACAACCGUUGGAGGGUGUUUAGUGGAAGCAACACAGAGGAAGGACGUUGCCUGAGAGGACAAGCGGAGCAAUUAUUGGACAACUUCUAACGCUUUGUCUAUAAUGUCUCCUCAAACAACGGGACGGACACGAAAAACAUUCAUGGUCCCCAACAGGACAGAGCCCGAUCACUGAUCAAACCAAACACGCCUCGUGUCCUCAAAGUGGAGUGUGGAGACCCACAUCUGAUUCGGUUACAUAAUACCGGCAGAGGACCAACGGAGAGGAAGACAAACCCGCUACGGCGAAGGCCGAGAGGCUCGAUGGGACAAUAAAACGCGUUACGGGACUCGGACUGACGUCACAGCCUCCGGCGCCGGACUGAUACACACGUGAUCAAUACCUUUACAUGAGAUGGUUUUCAUGACGAGUAUAUUGAUCGUGGUGAUGUCACGGGGGAAAAGGUCUCUAAGAAGGUAGUUGUAGUAAGUAGUUUAUUUAAAUCUAUUUUAUCUAUAUUUUUUAGAUAGUCACCGUUUUUUUUGUUUUUUAAUCAAGUAGAAAACUGUAGCAGCAUGUAUAUAUAUAUAUAUAUAUAUAUAUAUAUAUAUAUAUAUAUAUAAAAAACACAGGAACAAGGUAAUGGACAUGAAAUCAUGUUUUUCACAACGUUCUUCCAUCUAGUGGUGAUUCAGCUGAAUCACAUCACAUUUCUGUGUCCUUUAAUGCGCGGUGACAUAAUUGUGUUAUUUAUUAUAUUGACAUGUUAAAAUGUAAAAGCUCAGCAGGUUUGAUUCCUGUUGUCUCACACGGAAGUGGGGUACAGCGCCUGUCAAUCACAGGAGGGAUUUGCGACAUCACGCCACCAAAUACCGUGUGAUGAACUCAACCCGUGACGGCAACAAACCAAGUGAUGGAUCUCAACUAGAAUGAUGAGUAAAAAACAAAACAAAAGAGGUGACGGGUAUUAAAGUCAGAGGUUUACCACAAGCACUGCAGCAGCACGCUGUCGGUGUACUGGAACACGGGAGCAGCCAGAGAGGAAGCAACCAGGAGCAGCUGGAUGGCUGUGUUCACCUGAAAACCAUCAUCAUCAUCAUCAUCAUCAUCAUCACCACAAAAAGAUCUACACACAACUUGCUUCUCUGGCGUGACGCAAUUGAAUAUGAUCUCAAAUAAAAGAACAUGGAUGAACGUAA